CCUACGGGAGGCAGCAGUGGGGAAUAUUGCACAAUGGGGGAAACCCUGAUGCAGCGACGCCGCGUGAGUGAAGAAGUAAUUCGUUAUGUAAAGCUCUAUCAGCAGGGAAGAAAAUGACGGUCCCUGAGUAAGAAGCCCCGGCUAACUACGUGCCAGCAGCCGCGGUAAUACGUAGGGGGCAAGCGUUAUCCGGAUUUACUGGGUGUAACGGGAGCGUAGACGGCAGUGCAAGUCUGGAGUGAAAGGCGGGGGCUCAACCCCCGGACUGCUCUGGAAACUGUACGGCUGGAGUGCAGGAGAGGUAAGGGGAAGUCCGAGUGUAGCGGUGAAAUGCGUAGAUAUUAGGAGGAACACCAGUGGCGGAGGCGGCUUACUGGACUGUAACUGACGGUGGGGGUCGAAAGCGUGGGGAGCAAACAGGAUUAGAUACCCGAGUAGUC
RNAcentral lists this ribosomal RNA (440 nucleotides) under uncultured bacterium. RNAcentral's name for it is "partial 16S ribosomal RNA". It matches the Rfam family "Bacterial small subunit ribosomal RNA", at positions 338 to 795 of the family's 1533-position model. The record is from RNAcentral.